This 469-nucleotide ribosomal RNA is filed under the name uncultured bacterium. Its description in RNAcentral is "partial 16S ribosomal RNA". It matches the Rfam family "Bacterial small subunit ribosomal RNA", at positions 27 to 507 of the family's 1533-position model. The record is from RNAcentral.
GGACGAACGCUGGCGGCGUGCUUAACACAUGCAAGUCGAACGGAAAGGCCCUGCUUUUGUGGGGUGCUCGAGUGGCGAACGGGUGAGUAACACGUGAGUAACCUGCCCUUGACUUUGGGAUAACUUCAGGAAACUGGGGCUAAUACCGGAUAGGAGCUCCUGCUGCAUGGUGGGGGUUGGAAAGUUUCGGCGGUUGGGGAUGGACUCGCGGCUUAUCAGCUUGUUGGUGGGGUAGUGGCUUACCAAGGCUUUGACGGGUAGCCGGCCUGAGAGGGUGACCGGCCACAUUGGGACUGAGAUACGGCCCAGACUCCUACGGGAGGCAGAAGUGGGGAAUAUUGCACAAUGGGCGGAAGCCUGAUGCAGCAACGCCGCGUGCGGGAUGACGGCCUUCGGGUUGUAAACCGCUUUCGCCUGUGACGAAGCGUGAGUGACGGUAAUGGGUAAAGAAGCACCGGCUAACUACGUG